CGAAUUCUAGAUCCCUGGUACUGAAGAAGGGGAAGCCAGCGGACAAGUUCGCUAUUCAAGACACACAGAUCCCAUCCUUCACAGAAAAACCGGACCUGAGCCCUAGGACCAUGCCCCAGGACUACCUGACAUGAUGACUCCUUGCUGUCCCCAGUCCAUCUGACCGUGCUGCUGCUCCAGUUUCAACUGUUCUGCCUUAUUAUUAUACGACCAUGCUGGUCAUUUAUGAACAUUUGAACAUCUUGGCCAUGUUCUGUUAUAAUCUCCACCCGGCACAGCCAGAAGAGGACUGGCCACCCCACAGAGCCUGGUUCCUCUCUAGGUUUCUUCCUAGGUUUUGGCCUUUCUAGGGAGUUUUUCCUAGCCACCGUGCUUUUACACCUGCAUUGCUUGCUGUUUGGGGUUUUAGGCUGGGUUUCUGUACAGCACUUUGAGAUGUCAGCUGAUGUACGAAGGGCUAUAUAAAUCAAUUUGAAUUUGAUUUGAAUUUGAAUAGUCUAUGGCUGUCUGGAGUGGUUCUCAAUCAGUGGCAGGUGUUUAUCGUUAUCUCUGAUUGGGAACCAUAUUUAGGCAGCCAUAUUCUUUGAGUGUUUUGUGGGUGAUUGUUCCUGUCUCUGUGUUUGUUUGCACCAGAUAGGCUGUUUAGGUUUUCACGUUUGUUGUUUUGUAUUGUUUGUGGUUUCAUCUUUAUUAAAGAUGUAUUCAAAUAACCACGCUGCAUUUUGGUCCGAUCCCUGCUACACCUCCUCUUCAGAGGAAGAGGAGAAAGAAAAGCGUAACAAUAUCUACAUAGGCAUACAGAGGCCCAUUAUCAGCAACCGUCACUCCUGUGUUCCAAUGGCAUGUUGUGUUAGCUAAUCUAAGUUUAUCAUUUUAAAAGGCUAAUUAAUCAUUAGAAAACCCUUUUGCAAUCAUUUUAGCACAGCAGAAAACUGUUGUCCUUCUUUAGACUAGUUGAGUAUCUGGAGCAUCAGCAUUUGUGGGUUCGAUUACAGGCUCAAAAUGGCCAGAAACAAAGAACUUCCUUCUGAAACUCGUCAGUCUAUUCUUGUUCUGAGAAAUUAAGGC
This is a long non-coding RNA of Oncorhynchus tshawytscha (Chinook salmon), 1068 nucleotides long. The record is from Ensembl. NCBI's taxonomy places the organism in Eukaryota, Metazoa, Chordata, Actinopteri, Salmoniformes, Salmonidae.